Molecule: small nuclear RNA, 322 nt
Filed under: Castor canadensis (American beaver)
Lineage: Eukaryota; Metazoa; Chordata; Mammalia; Rodentia; Castoridae
Description: 7SK RNA (ENSCCNG00000018081.1)
Rfam family: 7SK RNA
About the family: 7SK was discovered as an abundant small nuclear RNA in the mid-70s but a possible function has only recently been suggested. Two independent studies have found that 7SK RNA binds the CDK9/cyclin T complex (known as elongation factor P-TEFb).
Source: Rfam by way of RNAcentral
GGAUGUGAGGGCGAUCUGGCUGCGACAUCUGUCACCCCAUUGAUCGCCAGGGUUGAUUCGGCUGAUCUGGCUGGCUAGGUGGGUGUCCCCUUCCUCCCUCACCGCUCCAUGUGCGUCCCUCCCGAAGCUGUGCGCUGGGUCGAAGAGGACGACCAUCCCUGAUAGAGGAGGACCGUUCUUCGGUCAAGGGUAUACGAGUAGCUGCGCUCCCCUGCUAGAACCUCCAAACAAGCUCUCUCAACCAAUAAACCAGGCGUGAUGGCAAGUGCCUGUGAUCCUAGCUACCCAGGAGGCAUAGGUAGGAGGAUUGCAGUCUGAGGCC